GAUGAAGAACGCAGCGAAACGCGAUAUGUAAUGUGAAUUGCAGAAUUCAGUGAAUCAUCGAAUCUUUGAACGCACAUGGCGCCUUCCAGUAUCCUGGGAGGCAUGCCUGUCCGAGCGUCGUUUCAACCCUCGAGCCCCCGUGGCCCGGCGUUGGGGUUCUGCCCAGGCAGUCCCCGAAAACCAGUGGCGGACCCGUUACAGGCCCUUCCCUUGCGUAGUAGCAUUCGCCUCGCAUCGGGAGCCGGCGGGCUUCCAGCCUCUAAACCCCCAUCAAGUCCGCCCCGGCGGCACCAAGGUUGACCUCGGAUCAGGUAGGAAUACCCGCUGAACUUAAGCAUAUCAAUAAGCGGAGGA
This 354-nucleotide unclassified non-coding RNA is filed under the name soil metagenome. Its description in RNAcentral is "partial contains 5.8S ribosomal RNA, internal transcribed spacer 2, and large subunit ribosomal RNA". The stretch from base 1 to 120 matches the Rfam family "5.8S ribosomal RNA", at positions 35 to 154 of the family's 154-position model. The record is from RNAcentral.